UAUGCCCGAGCAGGACGAAGCCAGAGGAAACUCUGGUGGAGGUCCGCAGCGAUUCUGACGUGCAAAUCGAUCGUCCGACUUGGGUAUAGGGGCGAAAGACUAAUCGAACCGUCUA
This 115-nucleotide ribosomal RNA is filed under the name Dermasterias imbricata. RNAcentral's name for it is "partial 28S large subunit ribosomal RNA". It matches the Rfam family "Eukaryotic large subunit ribosomal RNA", at positions 832 to 946 of the family's 3401-position model. The record is from RNAcentral. Lineage: Eukaryota; Metazoa; Echinodermata; Asteroidea; Valvatida; Poraniidae. RNAcentral also lists the same sequence under 1 other name.